UUACAGCCAUAUCAUGUGGAAACACCAGUUCCCAUAUGAUCACUGAAGUUAAACAAUGUCAAGCCUGGUCAGUAUCUAGAUGGAUAACUGCUUGGGAAUACCAAGUGCUGUAAG
Molecule: non-coding RNA, 114 nt
Organism: Acanthosepion pharaonis
Lineage: Eukaryota; Metazoa; Mollusca; Cephalopoda; Sepiida; Sepiidae
Source: the annotation of a GenBank genome assembly